This 497-nucleotide ribosomal RNA is filed under the name uncultured bacterium. RNAcentral describes it as "partial 16S ribosomal RNA". It matches the Rfam family "Bacterial small subunit ribosomal RNA", at positions 28 to 507 of the family's 1533-position model. The record is from RNAcentral.
GAUGAACGCUGGCGGCGUGCCUAAUACAUGCAAGUCGAGCGAACAGACGAGGGGCUUGCUCCUCUGACGUUAGCGGCGGACGGGUGAGUAACACGUGGAUAACCUACCUAUAAGACUGGGAUAACUUCGGGAAACCGGAGCUAAUACCGGAUAAUAUAUUGAACCGCAUGGUUCAAUAGUGAAAGACGGUUUUGCUUUCACUUAUAGAUGGAUCCGCGCCGCAUUAGCUAGUUGGUAAGGUAACGGCUUACCAAGGCAACGAUGCGUAGCCGACCUGAGAGGGUGAUCGGCCACACUGGAACUGAGACACGGUCCAGACUCCUACGGGAGGCAGCAGUAGGGAAUCUUCCGCAAUGGGCGAAAGCCUGACGGAGCAACGCCGCGUGAGUGAUGAAGGUCUUCGGAUCGUAAAACUCUGUUAUUAGGGAAGAACAAAUGUGUAAGUAACUAUGCACGUCUUGACGGUACCUAAUCAGAAAGCCACGGCUAACUACGUG